GAAUCCGCCAAGGAGUGUGUAACAACUCACCUGCCGAAUGAAUUAGCCCUGAAAAUGGAUGGCGCUGAAGCGGGUAACCGACACCACGCCGUUUGGUCAAGAAAAGCUAUCAAAUGAGUAGGAGGGUGUGGCGGUCGUAUCGAAGCGUUCUCGCGAGAGGGCGUGGAACGGCCGCUAGUACAGAUCUUGGUGUCAGUAGCAAAUAUUUAAGUGAGAACCUUGAAGGGCGAAGCGGGGAAGGGUUCCACACCAACAUUGAUUGGGUGUGGGUGAAUCGUUCCUAAGCCGCGUGGCAAUAGCUAAGCAUUAUGGCGAAAGGGAAGCAGGUUGAUAUUCCUGCAUAUGGAUGUGGAGGCGGUGACGCGACAUCAGAGGCGGUUAAGUCGGCGGUGGCCCUGGGCAGAGUUUUCUUUUCUGUUUAACCAAUCUUGAAUGUAUACUGUGGAAUUCGCUUGUCGAGAGAAACAGAUAUGUUUGGGAAGAGCGCCGGGAUUUCUCCGGCGUCCAGUGCGCCCUCGUCGUCCCUUGAAACACUGUCUGCUGGCACUUAUCCCUCGGGUUGAGUGUGUAAAAGAUCCACGCCAUGACGUACCGAUAACCGCAUCAGGUCCCCAAGGUGAACAGCCUCUGCUCGAUAUGAAUAAUGCAGGUAAGGGAAGUCGGCA
This 665-nucleotide ribosomal RNA is filed under the name Heterosiphonia crispella. RNAcentral describes it as "eukaryotic LSU rRNA". It matches the Rfam family "Eukaryotic large subunit ribosomal RNA", at positions 1264 to 1919 of the family's 3401-position model. Lineage: Eukaryota; Rhodophyta; Florideophyceae; Ceramiales; Dasyaceae. The record is from RNAcentral.